GGGCCCGUAGUCCAGUGGUAGAAUACUUCGCUUGCACCGAAGAUACCCGCGUUCGAUUCGCGGCGGGUCCA
This 71-nucleotide transfer RNA is filed under the name Candidatus Pacearchaeota archaeon. RNAcentral describes it as "tRNA-Ala". It matches the Rfam family "tRNA". From Rfam's summary of the family: Transfer RNA (tRNA) molecules are approximately 80 nucleotides in length. Their secondary structure includes four short double-helical elements and three loops (D, anti-codon, and T loops). The record is from RNAcentral. Lineage: Archaea; Nanobdellati.